AUUGAGCGCUGGCGGCAUGCCUUACACAUGCAAGUCGAACGGCAGCACGGGAGCAAUCCUGGUGGCGAGUGGCGAACGGGUGAGUAAUAUAUCGGAACGUGCCCAGUCGUGGGGGAUAACGUAGCGAAAGCUACGCUAAUACCGCAUACGAUCUAUGGAUGAAAGCGGGGGAUCGCAAGACCUCGCGCGAUUGGAGCGGCCGAUAUCAGAUUAGGUAGUUGGUGAGGUAAAGGCUCACCAAGCCGACGAUCUGUAGCUGGUCUGAGAGGACGACCAGCCACACUGGGACUGAGACACGGCCCAGACUCCUACGGGAGGCAGCAGUGGGGGAAUUUUUGGGACAAUGGGCGCAAGCCUGAUCCAGCAAUGCCGCGUGCAGGAUGAAGGCCU
This 390-nucleotide ribosomal RNA is filed under the name uncultured bacterium. RNAcentral's name for it is "bacterial SSU rRNA". It matches the Rfam family "Bacterial small subunit ribosomal RNA", at positions 30 to 417 of the family's 1533-position model. The record is from RNAcentral.